Physcomitrium patens is the source of this 3136-nucleotide non-coding RNA. The record is from RefSeq and is a predicted model, not a curated record. NCBI's taxonomy places the organism in Eukaryota, Viridiplantae, Streptophyta, Bryopsida, Funariales, Funariaceae.
GAUAGUGUUUCUGACUCAGCAAAGCAUCCCGGAAUAGAAAAAACUGCCGUUGCUGAGACGACGCAAAGGUUUCGUCGACGAGGGCCGAUUUUGCGUGGCGGGUUUGACGCGAGCGGCGGAUUGUUUGGAAGCGAGGCACGCGGGCAGUGUGGCCUCUGAAGUAUGUAAGCUGCUUCUCGUGCCAUGGAUAUUCUCUCCGAGGUGCCUUCAGGGCGUCUCAGUUUCUUGUAGCCGUGGGGGUUUGAGCGAUGGUGCUGGCUCAACUCUCGCAGCGUGCUCGAAGAUUUUUAAGAAGCGGUUGUGUCCGGUUUUGCUUCGGCUUAACAACUGGCACGACGUGUUUCUCACUGUUAGGCUAGUGGAUCUGGCCUUACCUGUGAACACGCAGUUAAGAUGUGACGCUGUUUCGCAUCGCUGAGCGCGGCUACGAACGAAACUUUUAUUUCGAGUUUCGCUGUGUUUUCCCGUCCUUUUUUGACUUCGGCAAGGCGAUUCGAACGCAGUUAUUGUCUGGCUCUAGUUAAGCAGUGUUGUUGCAUUGCAGAGAGGACAUCGAUUCCAAAUGUUGUUGGCUUCACUGUGGCCAUCGUGGAACUGAGUUCACAGGCAGAUUUUUGUGUGGCUAGACCCUGCCCUUAUGGGUGCGCUUACGGGGCGGGUCUCAGUUGAAAUAAAAAAGUGAUUGCGUGGUGUAGAGAGGAUUUAUUCUCUCGCUGGUCCGUCUAGUCGGUCGAAUAUCGUUCCAGUUGCUAACCUUUGUGGGAUGUGUUGAUCUGCAUAGUAUGCAACUUCGUCCCGUGUGUACUGGUUGUGGAUGUGCCUGAACAAUCGCCUCAGAUAAGACUGGGAUUAACGUAAAGGAUGUAUCUGCCAUCGUGGACGUGAUGCUCGGUCACGGGGUUCUGUCCACUCUGGGUGUGUCUGUGACGGAGGGUGCGCGAUGAGAGUGUUUGCACUGUGAAUCAACGCAGCGCUAAUCCGUAAACGCAAAUAAAUUGAAGUGAAUCUUGGAAUUUGCUGGGGCACUGGAGAGGUUGUAUUCGUAAUCCUCUUGUGUGAAGUGUCGAUGUAUCUCUCCACAGUCCGAUCGGGAAACACGAGUCGUUGUGAACCAUGCCUCACAUACUUAGAGGUGUUGCUCCACAUUCUCUUCGACCAACCAAAUUCAGAGUGGGAGGAUUUUGCACACAGUCGCACAGAGGCGACCCCCUGAUGAGUCACUUGCUUCGCGCCUAUAUCGACUUCUCUUCGUCUACCUUUGAGGUACUUGUACCUUCUCUCCAAUUUGUGACACAAGGAGUGAUGCGUUAUGCUACGAAUGGUUUUACUUGAGCCUGAGCUCUGCACCUCUUUUGUUCCAUCUCUCUUUCACUCUUUCAUCUUGACACCCUGUACUACCUAAAACUGUUAGUCAAGCCCCCUUCAUUUUCUUACAGAUUCUAAGAUCAUUUUAGCCGUAACCCUCUCUUUCUAGUGUGCCUCACUACCAAAGAAAAAUUUACUUUUGAGAGAUUUCUAGCAGUAUCACUAGCAGAAGUAUCUCUGCUGCUUUCUCAGAACACUAGUUUCCCAGGCUAGUCACAGUCAGUACUGGGCUCUCCAGUUAGAGUUACAUUAGGAUAUCAGGGUUAAGAUGCUUGCGCAUGGCCCUACACAGUCUUACGUAUCAACACGGAUCCCGUGUACAUUUUCACUUAUUUUCACUUCGGUAGUAUCAUUCCAUUUGAGUGGACGAAUUACUUUUCAUGUUGUCAAGGCACGAAUUUGGACAUGUGCAUGUGAUGUUUCAUCGAGUAUUUAGUAAGUUCUGAUUGCGCACAGACUCGACGUCUGGAAAGUAUGUCUGCAGAAUAAUAAUAACUGCUGUUGAUAGUGUUCAAGCUGAGAAUCAUGUGACUCUAGUCUUGUGCUACAUAUGAGACAUAGUAAAGUCAGUCAUGGUUGAUCAAGUAUGUGCAGUUUGUGCAUCACAGCUUUUGCUGGAUACCGCUCGCGGUGUCGCUGUGACGAGGAAUUGAAGGAAACUGAAACACAGCGGAAGAUAUAACUUCGGAUUGAAGGAGGUGAAGUGGUGGACUGGUGUAGGUCGCUAAGCUUGUGGACAUGCCAUGUAGCGUGUAUAUCUUACUGGAAUGUUUUUCUAUUAACGCUUAUGUCGUACUUUGUUGUAUGGAAUUUAGUUCCGUGUGCUACUAUUGCGCGCUCUGUCUUCUGUUUAUUUAUGACACUUCAUUCUUUCAUUGCGUUCCUGUAGUUAACGUCUCAGGUAUGUUGUCAUCUCUUACAUUUUUUUAAAAAAAAUCAGCAUCGGCAGGCUUUGGUCAAGAUUCACAAGAAGCACUUUGGUGAAGAUACACCGAACUAACGUCGAGAUUGUUUCAAGUGUCCUAGAUCCUGAAGGGUUGUGACUGUUCACACGAAAGGCUUUUGCGAUUUCUUAUUGGAUGAACUGAUGACUAGCUGUUUCCGAUUCUAGUAGCAUCUUUCAAGGUUGCAGACCAUGAAGUGCAGUCGCACAGCUUACAUCUCUGUUGAAAGGCAGCAGUAAUCACUUCAAUCGUGACGUGAUUGGAAGGGUUCAACUCCCUUGAUAGAAGACGCUGGGGACGCAUGCAGUAGGUGGAUAUUAAAAUCGAUUCUGUUACAGUUGAGUGAAAAAGUUGGUCAAAGCACCAUCCUUUGACAAAUCACUCCGAAGUGAUUAUCCUUCUGACCAGCUUUGCCAAGACUUUUUUGACUCUUCGUCCUUGACAGCUUCGUAUUUGCAACUAUCAUCUUUGAUGGCCCCUCUGCAAUUUCCAACUCCUUGCUGCCUACUACAAGCCUCAGGGAUGCGACCUAACAGCUCAAGUUUAAGGUCAGUGUAGACGGGGAGGUUAAUGAUGCAAUCCUGACUUGAAAGUUAUGAGAAAAUACAUGAGCACAAAAUGCUUAAUUAUUUCAUACAUGAAGAUUUAGCCAAAGUUGUUAAUUUUAUGCAGUUUAUGAACUAAAACCAAAUGCAAUUUUUAGUAUCAACUUGUAAGUUUCGAUUAUUGUUGAACAUUUCGGUUACGGUUACUGAACGCAGAGAGUGCAUUAGUACGUUUUAUUUUUGUUGUCGAUAAAAUCUGUAAAUUGUACUUUUGUCAUUUGA